AUGAACGCUAGCUACAGGCUUAACACAUGCAAGUCGAGGGGCAGCAUGGUCUUAGCUUGCUAAGGCCGAUGGCGACCGGCGCACGGGUGAGUAACACGUAUCCAACCUGCCGUCUACUCUUGGACAGCCUUCUGAAAGGAAGAUUAAUACAAGAUGGCAUCAUGAGUCCGCAUGUUCACAUGAUUAAAGGUAUUCCGGUAGACGAUGGGGAUGCGUUCCAUUAGAUAGUAGGCGGGGUAACGGCCCACCUAGUCUUCGAUGGAUAGGGGUUCUGAGAGGAAGGUCCCCCACAUUGGAACUGAGACACGGUCCAAACUCCUACGGGAGGCAGCAGUGAGGAAUAUUGGUCAAUGGGCGAGAGCCUGAACCAGCCAAGUAGCGUGAAGGAUGACUGCCCUAUGGGUUGUAAACUUCUUUUAUAAAGGAAUAAAGUCGGGUAUGCAUACCCGUUUGCAUGUACUUUAUGAAUAAGGAUCGGCUAACUCCGUGCCAGCAGCCGCGGUAAUACGGAGGAUCCGAGCGUUAUCCGGAUUUAUUGGGUUUAAAGGGAGCGUAGAUGGAUGUUUAAGUCAGUUGUGAAAGUUUGCGGCUCAACCGUAAAAUUGCAGUUGAUACUGGAUAUCUUGAGUGCAGUUGAGGCAGGCGGAAUUCGUGGUGUAGCGGUGAAAUGCUUAGAUAUCACGAAGAACUCCGAUUGCGAAGGCAGCCUGCUAAGCUGCAACUGACAUUGAGGCUCGAAAGUGUGGGUAUCAAACAGGAUUAGAUACCCUGGUAGUCCACACGGUAAACGAUGAAUACUCGCUGUUUGCGAUAUACAGCAAGCGGCCAAGCGAAAGCGUUAAGUAUUCCACCUGGGGAGUACGCCGGCAACGGUGAAACUCAAAGGAAUUGACGGGGGCCCGCACAAGCGGAGGAACAUGUGGUUUAAUUCGAUGAUACGCGAGGAACCUUACCCGGGCUUAAAUUGCAGAUGAAUUACGGUGAAAGCCGUAAGCCGCAAGGCAUCUGUGAAGGUGCUGCAUGGUUGUCGUCAGCUCGUGCCGUGAGGUGUCGGCUUAAGUGCCAUAACGAGCGCAACCCUUGUUGUCAGUUACUAACAGGUUCCGCUGAGGACUCUGACAAGACUGCCAUCGUAAGAUGUGAGGAAGGUGGGGAUGACGUCAAAUCAGCACGGCCCUUACGUCCGGGGCUACACACGUGUUACAAUGGGGGGUACAGAGGGCCGCUACCACGCGAGUGGAUGCCAAUCCCAAAAACCUCUCUCAGUUCGGACUGGAGUCUGCAACCCGACUCCACGAAGCUGGAUUCGCUAGUAAUCGCGCAUCAGCCACGGCGCGGUGAAUACGUUCCCGGGCCUUGUACACACCGCCCGUCAAGCCAUGGGAGCCGGGGGUACCUGAAGUGCGUAACCGCGAGGAGCGCCCUAGGGUAAAACUGGUGACUGGGG
Molecule: ribosomal RNA, 1447 nt
Filed under: uncultured organism
Description: SSU rRNA
Rfam family: Bacterial small subunit ribosomal RNA
Source: RNAcentral